CUCAUUUUGUAAGCAAGUCAUUUUCAAGUGAGGUGAAACUUGGAGUACGCAAGACAAAUCAGACUCUUGAAAGGGGCACAGUCGUCUGGAAAGGUGGUCUAGCUCGAGCAUUUGUAGCUCAUGCGUUUCGCACUGAAGCAACCUGCCUGACUCAGUGCAAAGGAUGGAUGAUGAGCAUGGAUUGAGGCAGCUCUUUGUUCUCUUUUUAUCCUCCUCAUUCCAAGUGCUGGCCAAUACUUUGUUUACUGUCUGCCUUCAAAACCCGUCAUUGAAUGCAGAAUACACUAUUUCUUCUUGGGCUUUUUUGUGGAGCUCAUCACUGCAGUAUGAAUGAAUUUAUUAUUGCAACGCACCUGCAAAGUAGGAAGGUAUUGUUAUCCCCAUUUCACAGAUGGGGAAAACAGUUACCUUUUCGUAACUGGUGUUCUUUGAGAUGUGUUGCUCAUGUCUAUUCCACAAUAGGUGUGCGUGCUCGCCACUUGCACCGGUGCCAAAAGUUUUUCCCCUAGCACUACCCCCGUGACCCCUGGAGUGGUGCCUGCCUGGCACGGUAUAAUGGGAGCUACGUGCUCCCCCCACCCUCAGUUCCUUCUUCCCAGACAACUCCGGCAGAGGGGAAGGAGGGCAGGAUGUGGAAUAGACAUGAGCAACGCAUCUCGAAGAACACCAGUUACGAAAAGGUAACUGUCUUUUCUUCUUCGAGUGAUUGCUCAUGUGUAUUCCACAAUAGGUGAUUCCAAGCUAUACCUUCUGGAGGUGGGUAGGAGUUCACAAGUUCUCGGGACGGAGUACCGCCCUGCCAAACCUGACGUAUUCCCUGGUUUGGGAGACUAUCGCAUAGUGCGAGGUGAACGUGUGAACCGAAGACCUCGUGGCGGCCCUACAAAUGUCCUGUAUAGGGAUGUGGGACACGAAGGCAGCCAACGAGGCCUGCACCUAAGUCGAGUGCGCCCUCACAAUGGGCAGCGGCCGGCAGGGGGACACCCGCCUGCUCAUAACAAGAGCAGAUGCACGAACUGAUCCAGUUGGAAAGCUGCUGAGUGGAAAUCGGCUGGCCUCUCACGCACUCAGCCGUGGCGACAAACAGUUGCAAGGACCUUCUGAAAGGCUUGGUCCGCUCAAGGUAGAAAUUAAUACGUGUAAUGAACAAUAUUUAUAUAUACUUUUGCUUUGGAUAAAAAUAGUACCUCGAGUUUCUAGUUGUUGUAAACAUUAAAUUGGAAGUUUUCAAUGUCAUUUUAUUGUAAUUAAUUAAAAUGAAUGAAGCCU
Non-coding RNA from Chrysemys picta bellii (western painted turtle), 1269 nucleotides. The record is from RefSeq and is a predicted model, not a curated record. Lineage: Eukaryota; Metazoa; Chordata; Testudines; Emydidae.